UAUUGGACAAUGGGCGCAAGCCUGAUGCAGCCAUGCCGCGUGAGUGAUGAAGGCCUUAGGGUUGUAAAGCUCUUUUAGCGGAGACGAUAAUGACGGUAUCCGCAGAAAAAGCCCCGGCCAACUUCGUGCCAGCAGCCGCGGUAAUACGAAGGGGGCUAGCGUUGCUCGGAAUCACUGGGCGUAAAGCGCACGUAGGUGGGUCGUUAAGUCGGGGGUGAAAUCCCGGAGCUCAACUCCGGAACUGCCUUCGAUACUGGCGACCUUCGAGUCCGGGAGAGGUGAGUGGAACUGCGAGUGUAGAGGUGAAAUUCGUAGAUAUUCGCAAGAACCCCAGGGCGAAGCGGCUCACGGCCCGGUACUACACUGAGGUCGAAA
This 375-nucleotide ribosomal RNA is filed under the name uncultured bacterium. Its description in RNAcentral is "bacterial SSU rRNA". It matches the Rfam family "Bacterial small subunit ribosomal RNA", at positions 362 to 758 of the family's 1533-position model. The record is from RNAcentral.